GCUGGCCACUCCAACUGAAGUUGCAAACUUGAUCUGCUUUGCACUUGCCAUUUCUGUCAUUGUUUGGAGUGCCUGCUGGAAAAAACCCAUGAUCCAGCAAGCUUUUAGGUAAAAGACACCGCAUUUCAGCUUUCUGUGCUUCCAGAAGCUGCAUUUUGGAGUCUAAAAAGGGAUCAUUCUGAAUUGCCUCUACAGGAUAAUGAACCAUGAGAUAGUCAUCUGGAUUAUUAUCAAUGACAAAUCCGUACAGGUACAGUAACUCCUCAUUGCCUUUGUUCCCAUAACUAAUGGAAAUCUCUUUCGCACUUUGGAGGGGAGUUUGUCCAGCAGAAAGAAGGUACAUGGUGAAAGAAACUCCUGUUACCAAGCCAGUUCCAUCAACCUCCCAUGUUGCUGCCGCCUUUGUAUCAUGGUUGCAAAAAUCAAUGCCAGGAACAAGACCCUCUACCCAGAUAGUAUCCUUUUGAACUGAUGUGGAAAUUGCCUCAUUCACUUUGCUGUCAUCUCCAUGAAACUUAGAUCCUUUUUCAUCCUUUUCAUCGAUUAAGUCUCUGCCAGAAUUAUAUGAGAUCUGAGAGUUGUUAAUUGGAG
RNAcentral lists this unclassified non-coding RNA (591 nucleotides) under Hevea brasiliensis (rubber tree). The record is from RNAcentral. Lineage: Eukaryota; Viridiplantae; Streptophyta; Magnoliopsida; Malpighiales; Euphorbiaceae.